RNAcentral lists this transfer RNA (71 nucleotides) under Marmota monax (woodchuck). Its description in RNAcentral is "tRNA.Ala". The stretch from base 6 to 66 matches the Rfam family "tRNA", at positions 6 to 65 of the family's 71-position model. Rfam says of the family: Transfer RNA (tRNA) molecules are approximately 80 nucleotides in length. The record is from RNAcentral. Lineage: Eukaryota; Metazoa; Chordata; Mammalia; Rodentia; Sciuridae.
GGGAUUGUGGCUCAGUGGUAGAGCGCUUUCCUUGCAUGUGUGAGGCACUGGGUUCGAUUCUCAGCAUCACA